UUAAGCUACUAAGAGCUUAGGGUGGAUGCCUAGGCACCAAGAGCCGAAGAAGGACGUGAUAAGCUGCGAUAAGCUACGGGGAGGAGCAAAUAUCCCUCGAUCCGUAGAUGUCCGAAUGAGGAAACUCAACUCAGGUAAAUGCUGAGUUAUCUCUGUAUGAGUAAAGUAGUACAGAAGAAGGGAACGAAGGGAACUGAAACAUCUUAGUACCUUUAGGAGUAGAAAAUAAACCAAUGAUUCCUUAAGUAGUGGCGAGCGAAAGAGGAAGAGCCCAAACCGAUUGGCUUCGGUCAGUCGGGGUUCGGAGUUACAACAAAGUGUAAGAUUAAUUGUAGUGGAAAUGUUUUGGAAAAGCAUAUCAAAGAGGGUGAGGAAUCCCGUACACGAAACAAGAGAGAAAUGCGAGUAACAUCCAGAGUAAGGCAGGACACGAGAAAUCCUGUGUGAAUGAGCGGGGACCAUCCCGUAAGGCUAAAUACUACUUGGUGACCGAUAGUGAACGAGUACCGUGAGGGAAAGGUGAAAAGAACCCCGGAAGGGGAGUGAAAUAGAAUCUGAAACCCUUUGCUUACAAGCAGAUAGAGCACGUUAAAUGUGUGAUAUCGUACUUUUUGCAUAACGGUCCGGCGAGUUAAUUUAUAUGGCAAGGAUAAAUGCUUUAGGCAUGGAUCCGAAGAGAAAUCGAGUCUGAAAUGGGCAAAUUAAGUCAUAUGAAUUAGACCCGAAACCGGGUGACCUACCCAUGUCCAGGGUGAAGCUAGAGUGAAAUCUAGUAGAGGCCCGAACCAGGUGAUGUUGAAAAAUCAUUGGAUGAGGUGUGGGUAGCGGAGAAAUUCUAAUCGAACUCGGAUAUAGCUGGUUCUCCUCGAAAUAGCUUUAGGGCUAGCCUUGAGUAAAAACUUUAUGGGGGUAGAGCACUGAAUGAGUAAGGGGUCUGAACAGAUUACCAAUCUUUAUCAAACUACGAAUACCAUAAAAGAAGCUCAGGAGUCAGACUAUGAAAGCUAAGUUCCAUAGUCAAAAGGGAAACAGCCCAGACCACCAAUUAAGGUCCCAAAGGAAUAACUAAGUGGAAAACGAUGUGAUUUUGCGCAGACAACCAGGAUGUUGGCUUAGAAGCAGCAAUUCAUUUAAAGAGUGCGUAAUAGCUCACUGGUCGAGUGAAGUUGCGCGGAAAAUUACCGGGGCUAAGUUAUUCACCGAAAUUGUGGAUUUGGUAUUACCACGUGUAAUAUUAAGUGGUAGAGGAGCGUUCUAUAGGGUUUGAAGCAUGAUCGAAAGGACAUGUGGACUAUAUAGAAGUGAGAAUGCCGGAAUAAGUAGCGAGAGCAAAGUGAGAAUCUUUGCCGUCGAAAAUCUAAGGUUUCCUGGGGAAGGUUCGUCCGCCCAGGGUAAGUCGGGUCCUAAGGCGAGGCCGAGAGGCGUAGUCGAUGGACAGCAGGUUAAGAUUCCUGCACUAGAGAACAUGUAAUACAUUAGAGGACACAUUUCUAGAAGGUGUGCGAGGAUAUGGAUAUACUCGUAUCGCAAGAUAUAGUGAAAAUUAGUAAUGAAUCACCAAGACGGAGGUGGCGAGAAAAGUCUAAUGUAGUUGUGUGAUCUACCCGUACCGCAAACCGACACAGGUAGAUGAGGAGAGGAUCCUAAGACGAGCGGGAGAAGCAUUGUUAAGGAACUCGGCAAAUUGGUCCCGUAACUUUGGAAGAAGGGACGCUGGCAGUAAAUGUCAGCCGCAGUGAAUAGGCCCAAGCAACUGUUUAUCAAAAACACAGGUUUCUGCUAAAUCGUAAGAUGAAGUAUAGGAGCUGACGCCUGCCCAGUGCUGGAAGGUUAAAGGGAAGAGUUAGGUGUAUUUAUAUUCCGAAGCUUAGAACUGAAGCCCCAGUGAACGGCGGCCGUAACUAUAACGGUCCUAAGGUAGCGAAAUUCCUUGUCAGGUAAGUUCUGACCCGCACGAAAGGCGUAAUGAUUUG
RNAcentral lists this ribosomal RNA (1973 nucleotides) under human gut metagenome. RNAcentral describes it as "bacterial LSU rRNA". It matches the Rfam family "Bacterial large subunit ribosomal RNA", at positions 3 to 2011 of the family's 2925-position model. The record is from RNAcentral.